UUUCCGUAGGUGAACCUGCGGAAGGGUCAUUCAUAAUAAAGUGUUUUAUGGCACUUUUUAAAAAUCCAUAUCCACCUUGUGUGCAAUGUUAGAUCUCGUCAAUCUUGGCGAGAUUUUUAUACAUCAACUCAUUUUUUAACUAAUUUGUCUGAAAAAUAUUAUGAAUACUUAAUUCAAAAUACAACUUUCAACAACGGAUCUCUUGGCUCUC
RNAcentral lists this unclassified non-coding RNA (211 nucleotides) under plant metagenome. RNAcentral describes it as "partial contains small subunit ribosomal RNA, internal transcribed spacer 1, and 5.8S ribosomal RNA". The record is from RNAcentral.